This 225-nucleotide ribosomal RNA is filed under the name uncultured bacterium. RNAcentral describes it as "partial 16S ribosomal RNA". It matches the Rfam family "Bacterial small subunit ribosomal RNA", at positions 109 to 334 of the family's 1533-position model. The record is from RNAcentral.
AGUAACGCGUGGGUAACCUGCCCUGUACAGGGGGAUAACAGUCAGAAAUGACUGCUAAUACCGCAUAAGACCACAGCACCACAUGGUGCAGGGGUAAAAACUCCGGUGGUACAGGAUGGACCCGCGUCUGAUUAGCUGGUUGGUGAGGUAACGGCUCACCAAGGCGACGAUCAGUAGCCGGCUUGAGAGAGUGAACGGCCACAUUGGGACUGAGACACGGCCCAA